CAAUAGCGUAUAUUUAAGUUGUUGCAGUUAAAAAGCUCGUAGUUGGAUUUCGGGUGGGACGCAGCGGUCUCGCAUUGCGUUUGUACUGCUGCAUCCCUCCUUCUUGCCGGGGGCGGCCUCUCGGACUUCACUGUCUGGGGGUCAGAAUCGGCGAUGUUACUUUGAGUAAAUUAGAGUGUUCAAAGCAAGCUUACGCUCUGAAUAUAAUAGCAUGGGAUAACACGACAGGACUCUGGCCUAUCGUGUUGGUCUAUAGGACCAGAGUAAUGAUUAAGAGGGACAGUCGGGGGCAUUCGUAUUCCGUUGUCAGAGGUGAAAUUCUUGGAUUUACGGAAGACGAACAUCUGCGAAAGCAUUUGCCAAGGAUGUUUUCAUUGA
Molecule: ribosomal RNA, 378 nt
Filed under: uncultured eukaryote
Lineage: Eukaryota
Description: partial 18S ribosomal RNA
Rfam family: Eukaryotic small subunit ribosomal RNA
Source: RNAcentral